AAGACAACUUUACGGAGUUGACGAUUGACGGAGCGAAGCGACGUCAAAGCGUAUACAAAGUCGAGUUGGCUUAGGGAUACGUUCGUUGGGUAGGGGAGCGUUCUGUAAGCCUGUGAAGGUGGCCUGUGAGGGUUGCUGGAGGUAUCAGAAGUGCGAAUGCUGACAUAAGUAACGAUAAAGCGGGUGAAAAGCCCGCUCGCCGGAAGACCAAGGGUUCCUGUCCAACGUUAAUCGGGGCAGGGUGAGUCGACCCCUAAGGCGAGGCCGAAAGGCGUAGUCGAUGGGAAACGGGUUAAUAUUCCCGUACUUGGUGUUACUGCGAAGGGGGGACGGAGAAGGCUAUGUUGGCCGGGCGACGGUUGUCCCGGUUUAAGCGUGUAGGUGUGUGUUCCAGGUAAAUCCGGUUCACUUUAACACUGAGGCGUGAUGACGAGGCACUACGGUGCUGAAGCAACAAAUGCCCUGCUUCCAGGAAAAGCCUCUAAGCAUCAGGUAACAUCAAAUCGUACCCCAAACCGACACAGGUGGUCAGGUAGAGAAUACCAAGGCGCUUGAGAGAACUCGGGUGAAGGAACUAGGCAAAAUGGUGCCGUAACUUCGGGAGAAGGCACGCUGACAUGUAGGUGAAGUGAUUUACUCAUGGAGCUGAAGUCAGUCGAAGAUACCAGCUGGCUGCAACUGUUUAUUAAAAACACAGCACUGUGCAAACACGAAAGUGGACGUAUACGGUGUGACGCCUGCCCGGUGCCGGAAGGUUAAUUGAUGGGGUCAGCGCAAGCGAAGCUCCUGAUCGAAGCCCCGGUAAACGGCGGCCGUAACUAUAACGGUCCUAAGGUAGCGAAAUUCCUUGUCGGGUAAGUUCCGACCUGCACGAAUGGCGUAAUGAUGGCCAGGCUGUCUCCACCCGAGACUCAGUGAAAUUGAACUCGCUGUGAAGAUGCAGUGUACCCGCGGCAAGACGGAAAGACCCCGUGAACCUUUACUAUAGCUUGACACUGAACAUUGAGCCUUGAUGUGUAG
This 1020-nucleotide ribosomal RNA is filed under the name Salmonella enterica subsp. enterica serovar Weltevreden. RNAcentral's name for it is "partial 23S ribosomal RNA". It matches the Rfam family "Bacterial large subunit ribosomal RNA", at positions 1164 to 2141 of the family's 2925-position model. Lineage: Bacteria; Pseudomonadati; Pseudomonadota; Gammaproteobacteria; Enterobacterales; Enterobacteriaceae. The record is from RNAcentral.